GAAAAUCUCUCUGACCUGUUUGUUCUUUCAGCAGACUCAGUUAGUGUUUAACUCGACAGCAGCAGAAACACAGCAGAGGUAACCAAAACAUGAGGAAUCCUGCAGCUAAAGUUCAGACAAUCAGUACAGGGGAAACCUUUGGAGCAGAUGUGGAUCUGAUGAACCAAGUCAUCCAAAAGGAUACAAGUCGAGAUGCACAACACAUCAUCCUUUUCUGUCCAAUCACAUCUCGUGUUGGCUCAGAUGUGCAGGCAGCCUUGGAAAAAGUCCCAUAUGGUCGAAGAAUCAUCCUGGUUUUGAUGCACCACACCCGAGAUGCUGACUAUUCAACAGCUGGGAUAAAGUGGUCAGAAUACAUUGAAAACGUUGUCCUGGAUGUUCAUGUUCUCUUCCACGAAAGUGUCCCAGGAUUACUGAGCUGUGCACAAAAUCACAAGGCAGUGUCGGAAAUAAGACAUUUUUUAGAAGAACACAAAAAGAAUUCAGAUCAGAGUGGGGCUUUGAUUGGGUUUUGCUACUGGCUAUUGUGUUGUGUUUUUUCUUGGGUCUUGUCUGAUGAAAGGUUUUGGAUGAGGCUCUGGAACUGGUUCUGGCAUUCAGACAGGCUUUGGGUGAGCCUUGUAAUUUGGUUUGGUACUCAGCUUUCUCAUUUGAUUUCAGUUUUGCUCUUCUAUGUAAGAAAAGUUAUUAAAGACAGACUUUCUUAAUAUCAUUAUUAACUCUACAACUUGUAUGUUUAUAUACAAGUUGUUUAAUGUCUCUUACACACAAACAGUCAUUACAAAAUUACCCAUAUGAACACAGACACAGUUAUGUGCAGAAACUAGAGAACAGCUCAGCCAGAGUUCCGAUAUUUGUAGUCACAGAUACUUAUCUGACUUGUAUCAUAGGCUCCAAAGGCAUUUAUUAUGACAUUACAUUGAAAUAAAAAUCUCUUACUUUCUAUUUACUGAAGGUCAAAUAGACACUUUGAAUAAAUGAAUUCUUGUGACUCUUUUGAUGCAUGUUGUAGCUUUGAAUUAAACCUCUGCCUAUAACUAUUGCAACAUGAUGUUUGGAAA
Molecule: long non-coding RNA, 1061 nt
Organism: Poeciliopsis prolifica (blackstripe livebearer)
Lineage: Eukaryota; Metazoa; Chordata; Actinopteri; Cyprinodontiformes; Poeciliidae
Exons: 4
Source: RefSeq, a predicted model, not a curated record